ACGGGGAGCAGCAGGCGCGAAAACUUUACAAUGCAGGCAACUGCGAUAAGGGGACAUCGAGUGGCACGCAAUUUGUGUGUCUGUCCACCCGUCUAAAAAACGGGUGUUAGCAAGGGCCGGGCAAGACCGGUGCCAGCCGCCGCGGUAAUACCGGCGGCUCGAGUGGUGGCCGAUAUUAUUGAGUCUAAAGGGUCCGUAGCCGGCUUAGUUAGUCUUUUGGGAAAUCCAGCGGCCUAUCGUUGGGCGUCCAUGAGAUACUGCUUUGCUUGGGACUGGGAGAGGUAGGAGGUACUCAAGGGGUAGGAGUGAAAUCCUGUAAUCCUUUGGGGACCACCGGUGGCGAAGGCGUCCUACCAUAACAGGUCCGACGGUGAGGGACGAAAGCUAGGGGCACGAACCGGAUUAGAUACCCGGGUAGUCCUAGCCGUAAACGAUGCUCGCUAGGUGUCACGGCAGUCGUGAAUUGCCGUGGUGCCGUAAGGAAGCCGUGAAGCGAGCCACUUGGGGAAGUACGACCGCAAGGUUGAAACUUAAAGGAAUUGGCGGGGGGAGCA
RNAcentral lists this ribosomal RNA (554 nucleotides) under uncultured archaeon. RNAcentral's name for it is "bacterial SSU rRNA". It matches the Rfam family "Archaeal small subunit ribosomal RNA", at positions 325 to 878 of the family's 1478-position model. The record is from RNAcentral.